GAGUCCUACGGGAGGCAGCAGUGGGGAGUAUUGCACAAUGGGGGAAACCCUGAUGCAGCGGCGCCGCGUGAGCGAAGAAGUAUUUCGGUAUGUAAAGCUCUAUCAGCAGGGAAGAAAAAUGACGGUACCUGAGUAAGAAGCACCGGCUAAAUACGUGCCAGCAGCCGCGGUAAUACGUAUGGUGCAAGCGUUAUCCGGAUUUACUGGGUGUAAGGGGAGCGCAGGCGGUGCGGCAAGUCUGAUGGGAAAGCCCGGGGCUCAACCCCGGGACGGCAUUGGAAACUACCGAACUAUAGUGCCGGAGG
This 305-nucleotide ribosomal RNA is filed under the name uncultured bacterium. RNAcentral describes it as "bacterial SSU rRNA". It matches the Rfam family "Bacterial small subunit ribosomal RNA", at positions 334 to 655 of the family's 1533-position model. The record is from RNAcentral.